This 394-nucleotide long non-coding RNA is filed under the name Bactrocera latifrons. RNAcentral describes it as "uncharacterized LOC108965035, transcript variant X1". The record is from RNAcentral. Lineage: Eukaryota; Metazoa; Arthropoda; Insecta; Diptera; Tephritidae.
UUCGAGCGAGUUUUGAACGCGCGGCUGCGACAACAGCUCAUAUGAACGCUAAACGUUGAAAAGAGCGAACAUCGGCAAAGUUUUCUCGCGGCGCACAUCCUUCAGUAAGGUAAUGUGAAAACGAAUUGAUGGUAAGAAAAUAAAAUACGUAAAGAGCGAGAGAAGCAAAUGAAAAAGGACAAUGAAAACUCACAAGUAAAGAGCGCUUGCAUUUUCCCUGAUUUCCAUGUCCAUUAGUUGCUGCUGGAUCGCCGGAGCAGUUAGUCAUUCUGAAUACGUGUUAUGAGGUUGAACUCAAAUAAUUUACAUCUAAUUUAAUUACCGUAUACUGUUGUCGAAGGCACAUUUAUUUUUCAUAUGUAUAUGUAUGUAUAUAUGUAGACCCCAACACAUG